This 809-nucleotide long non-coding RNA is filed under the name Brassica rapa (field mustard). Its description in RNAcentral is "long non-coding RNA (BRAP_LNC003637)". The record is from RNAcentral. Lineage: Eukaryota; Viridiplantae; Streptophyta; Magnoliopsida; Brassicales; Brassicaceae.
GUUUUUACCUGGGUCAUAGCUCAAAUUCAUUUCAUACAUUAAGCCCAAUUAAAACAAAUAAUGAUUUUAUAUCAAAAGAAAAAAAAACAAUUACGUGUGCUUGCGGAGGUUCGAACUCGGAAAGUAGGGUCAGUGGGUUCAAUCCGUAACCAACUGAGCCAAUAUCUAAUACAAAAAUAAGCUUACAAAUAAAAAUUGUAUUUUUAACCUGUGUCAUUUGCACCCUCAUUCUUCUAUGUAGGUCCGCCUUUGAAUACUGUCGUUCUAAUCAUUUUCUAACAUCGACGUCUCCUUUUUUUUUAGCUAUUUCCCUUUUUUUUUAUUAGUUUUAAUUCCUUCCUUAUUUACUAAUCCUAGAUGGUAAUUUAAUUGGUGUUAAUAAUAGAGGUGAAUUUGAGAGUUAACCAUAGGGGUGAACCUAAGUUUUGUCCGAUCAGUUUGGUUAUUUAUGAAAUUUAAUUAAAUUUUAGUUUUUUUUUUUGUUGGCACUGUCCUGUUCCUCAGUUCAGGAUAAAUUUGCCUAGAUUUAUACAGUAUCUUGUACAUGAAUUCAUAUUAAAAUUAUUUAUUGAAUUCCCUAAAUUAUAUACUUAAAACUCACUUUUAAUGUGCUUUUUCAAACAAAAAUUUUGAUAUGCAAAAACAAACGCAUAAUUAAAAUGAAUGGUAGAAACGAUCUAGGUCGUAAUCUAAAACGUUUUUAGUGCUAGAGUUGUGUAUCAUUCGCAUACUUGAUCAUGUCAAAAAUAUAUGCAGAUUCUCAAGGUGAGAAAUAGUAUAAGCACGAGGAUUAUGAACUUUCUCACGUU